Small nucleolar RNA from Ailuropoda melanoleuca (giant panda), 65 nucleotides. Its record names the gene SNORD58. It matches the Rfam family "Small nucleolar RNA SNORD58". From Rfam's summary of the family: snoRNA U58 is found in introns 1, 3 and 6 of the ribosomal protein RPL17 gene in humans. U58 is a member of the C/D class of snoRNA which contain C (UGAUGA) and D (CUGA) box motifs. Most of the members of the box C/D family function in directing site-specific 2'-O-methylation of substrate RNAs. The record is from Ensembl. NCBI's taxonomy places the organism in Eukaryota, Metazoa, Chordata, Mammalia, Carnivora, Ursidae.
CCGCGUUGAUGGCAUUUCUUGGACACCUUUGGAUUAACCAUGAAAACAAGUACUUGCUGAGCGGC